This is a long non-coding RNA of Pezoporus occidentalis (night parrot), 737 nucleotides long. RefSeq lists it as uncharacterized. The transcript has 3 exons. NCBI's taxonomy places the organism in Eukaryota, Metazoa, Chordata, Aves, Psittaciformes, Psittacidae. The record is from RefSeq and is a predicted model, not a curated record.
AGGAACCACAAACAAGAAAAGCAAAGCAAGGCACCACAUUUCCUUCCUGCAGAGCUUGCUGUGACAUGGCAAGGGAGCAGCCACCCACAUCAGGACAUGCCAGUCCCACUGAGCUACUGCUUUUCUGAGGACAAACUGACAAGAAGCAGACCUGUCAAUGCAAUGGUGUCCCAGCUCCCAUUUUCCAGUACUAGGAAGAGUACAUGGGAGCUAAAGGGGAAGCUUCAGCCUGAACUUCAACAUAGGAGAGGGAGCUGCAGAAUGCAACACUGAAGGUUCUAUACUUAGUGCUAGAGUUUUAGCUAGCUCAGAACAACCCAGCUAUACCAUGGGUAUAGCGUUCAGCUCCAACUCAGAGAUUAUUAGGAUCCUGUUCCACCUAAGAAUUGUGAUGCGGAAAAGGUGCAGGAAUUGGAAAGAAGAAUAUUCCAAUUAAAACUAGGAAGUGUAGACUACAAAGAGAGACUGUGAAAUGGUGAUGAGGAGUAGAGGAAAGACAAGCAGAGACUGUCAAACAAGCAGCAGGAAUGCAAAGAGAUGGAGAUUUUAAUAAGAAAAUACAUAAUCACUAAAGCUAGUCAGAAACUAUUAUAGUUUUCUCUGGAAACACUUCUACAGCAUUGUGAAUUACUGGGAGUUUGAGUUUGGGUUUUUUUCCUUAGAGACUUUCUUCAAACACAGAAAUGUUUUCAGUACAAACAGGGAAAAUAUAUUUCUGAGAUUUCCUCUAUUUUUUU